This 460-nucleotide ribosomal RNA is filed under the name uncultured bacterium. RNAcentral describes it as "partial 16S ribosomal RNA". It matches the Rfam family "Bacterial small subunit ribosomal RNA", at positions 338 to 795 of the family's 1533-position model. The record is from RNAcentral.
CCUACGGGGGGCAGCAGUGAGGAAUAUUGGUCAAUGGGCGCUAGCCUGAACCAGCCAAGUAGCGUGAAGGAUGACUGCCCUAUGGGUUGUAAACUUCUUUUAUAUGGGAAUAAAGUGCAGUAUGUAUACUGCUUUGCAUGUACCUUAUGAAUAAGGAUCGGCUAACUCCGUGCCAGCAGCCGCGGUAAUACGGAGGAUCCGAGCGUUAUCCGGAUUUAUUGGGUUUAAAGGGAGCGUAGGCGGGUUGUUAAGUCAGUUGUGAAAGUUUGCGGCUCAACCGUAAAAUUGCAGUUGAUACUGGCAGCCUUGAGUACAGUAGAGGUAGGCGGAAUUCGUGGUGUAGCGGUGAAAUGCUUAGAUAUCACGAAGAACUCCGAUUGCGAAGGCAGCCUGCUGGACUGUAACUGACGCUGAUGCUCGAAAGUGUGGGUAUCAAACAGGAUUAGAUACCCUAGUAGUG